UACAGAGGUCUCAAGCGUUGUUCGGAUUCAUUGGGCGUAAAGGGUGUGUAGGUGGCGCCGUAAGUCGGGUGUGAAAUUUCGGAGCUUAACUCCGAAACUGCAUUCGAUACUGCGGUGCUUGAGGACUGGAGAGGAGACUGGAAUUCAUGGUGUAGCAGUGAAAUGCGUAGAGAUCAUGAGGGAGACCAGUGGCGAAGGCGGGUCUCUGGACAGUUCCUGACACUGAGACACGAAGGCCAGGGGAGCAAACGGG
This 253-nucleotide ribosomal RNA is filed under the name uncultured bacterium. RNAcentral's name for it is "partial 16S ribosomal RNA". It matches the Rfam family "Bacterial small subunit ribosomal RNA", at positions 524 to 776 of the family's 1533-position model. The record is from RNAcentral.